Molecule: small nuclear RNA, 100 nt
Organism: Homo sapiens (human)
Lineage: Eukaryota; Metazoa; Chordata; Mammalia; Primates; Hominidae
Gene: U2
Rfam family: U2 spliceosomal RNA
About the family: U2 is a small nuclear RNA (snRNA) component of the spliceosome (involved in pre-mRNA splicing). Complementary binding between U2 snRNA (in an area lying towards the 5' end but 3' to hairpin I) and the branchpoint sequence (BPS) of the intron results the bulging out of an unpaired adenosine, on the BPS, which initiates a nucleophilic attack at the intronic 5' splice site, thus starting the first of two transesterification reactions that mediate splicing.
Source: Ensembl
AUUGCUUCUCAGUCUUUUGGCUAAGAUCAAGUGUAGAAUCUGUUCUUAUCAGAUUUACUUCCCUAUGAAAAUCUUUAAGAGGCAAUGUGGUGCAACUCAC